Cavia porcellus (domestic guinea pig) is the source of this 64-nucleotide transfer RNA. It matches the Rfam family "tRNA". Rfam says of the family: Transfer RNA (tRNA) molecules are approximately 80 nucleotides in length. Their secondary structure includes four short double-helical elements and three loops (D, anti-codon, and T loops). Further hydrogen bonds mediate the characteristic L-shaped molecular structure. tRNAs have two regions of fundamental functional importance: the anti-codon, which is responsible for specific mRNA codon recognition, and the 3' end, to which the tRNAs corresponding amino acid is attached (by aminoacyl-tRNA synthetases). tRNAs cope with the degeneracy of the genetic code in two manners: having more than one tRNA (with a specific anti-codon) for a particular amino acid; and 'wobble' base-pairing, i.e. permitting non-standard base-pairing at the 3rd anti-codon position. The record is from Rfam. NCBI's taxonomy places the organism in Eukaryota, Metazoa, Chordata, Mammalia, Rodentia, Caviidae.
AGGGAUUUAGCUUAGAGGCAUAAGCACCUGCCUGGCAAGCAUGAGGUCAUGAGUUCAAUCCCUG